Molecule: long non-coding RNA, 2619 nt
Filed under: Zea mays
Lineage: Eukaryota; Viridiplantae; Streptophyta; Magnoliopsida; Poales; Poaceae
Description: long non-coding RNA (ZMAY_LNC005841)
Source: RNAcentral
UGCCAUAGAUCACAAUCUUGGAUUUCUCGUGGAGACCAUUUCUUGGUCAAAAAUCCGUACGUGUUAGCCUUCGGUAUUAUUGAAAAUGGUCGUUCAUGGCUGUUUUCGACAAAAAUGGGGGUUGUGUGGCCAUUGAUCAUCGACCAGAGGCUCAUACACCUCACCCCACAUACGUUUCCUUGCCAUAGAGCACACUCUUGGAUUUCUGGUGGAGACCAUUUCUUGGGCAAAAUCCAUACGUGUUAGCCUUCAGUAUUAUUGAAAAUGGUCGUUGAUCACUAUUUUCGACAAAAAAUGGGGGUUGUGUGGCCACUGAUCAUCGACCAGAGGCUCGUACACCUCACCCCAAUAUGUUUCCUUGCCAUAGAUCAUAUUCUUGGAUUUCUGGUGGAGACGAUUUCUUGGUCAAAAAUCCGUAGUGUUAGCCUUCGGUAUUAUUGAAAAUGGUCGUUCAUGGCUAUUUUCGACAAAAAUGGGGGUUGUGUGGCCAUUGAUCAUCGACCAGAGGCUCAUACACCUCACCCCACAUAUGUUUCCUUGCCAUAGAUCACAUUCUUGGAUUUCUGGUGGAGACCAUUUCUUGGUCAAAAAUCCGUAGGUGUUAGCCUUCGUAUUAUUGAAAAUGGUCGUUCAUGGCUAUUUUCGGCAAAAUGGGGGUUGUGUGGCCAUUGAUCAUCGACCAGAGGCUCAUACACCUCACCCCACAUAUGUUUCCUUGCCAUAGAUCACAUUCUUGGAUUUCUGGUGGAGACCAUUUCUUGGUCAAAAAUCCGUAGGUGUUAGCCUUCGGUAUUAUUGAAAAUGGUCGUUCAUGGCUAUUUUCGGACAAAAAUGGGGGUUGUGUGGCCAUUGAUCAUCGACCAGAGGCUCAUACACCUCACCCCACAUAUGUUUCCUUGCCAUAGAUCACAUUCUUGGAUUUCUGGUGGAGACCAUUUCUUGGUCAAAAAUCCGUAGGUGUUAGCCUUCGGUAUUAUUGAAAAUGGUCAUUCAUGGCUAUUUUCGACAAAAAUGGGGGUUGUGUGGCCAUUGAUCAUCGACCAGAGGCUCAUACACCUCACCCCACAUAUGUUUCCUUGCCAUAGAUCACAUUCUUGGAUUUCUGGUGGAGACCAUUUCUUGGUCAAAAAUCCGUAGGUGUUAGCCUUCGGUAUUAUUGAAAAUGGUCGUUCAUGGCUAUUUUCGACAAAAAUGGGGGUUGUGUGGCCAUUGAUCAUCGACCAGAGGCUCAUACACCUCACCCCACAUAUGUUUCCUUGCCAUAGAUCACAUUCUUGGAUUUCUGGUGGAGACCAUUUCUUGGUCAAAAAUCCGUAGGUGUUAGCCUUCGUAUUAUUGAAAAUGGUCGUUCAUGGCUAUUUUCGACAAAAAUGGGGGUUGUGUGGCCAUUGAUCAUCGACUAGAGGCUCAUACACCUCACCCCACAUAUGUUUCCUUGCCAUAGAUCACAUUCUUGGAUUUCUGGUGGAGACCAUUUCUUGGUCAAAAAUCCGUAGGUGUUAGCCUUCGGUAUUAUUGAAAAUGGUCGUUCAUGGCUAUUUUCACAAAAAUGGGGGUUGUGUGGCCAUUGAUCAUCGACUAGAGGCUCAUAACCUCACCCCACAUAUGUUUCCUUGCCAUAGAUCACAUUCUUGGAUUUCUGGUGGAGACCAUUUCUUGGUCAAAAAUCCGUAGUGUUAGCCUUCGGUAUUAUUGAAAAUGGUCGUUCAUGGCUAUUUUCGCAAAAUGGGGGUUGUGUGGCCAUUGAUCAUCGACCAGAGGCUCAUACACCUCACCCCACAUAUGUUUCCUUGCCAUAGAUCACAUUCUUGGAUUUCUGGUGGAGACCAUUUCUUGGUCAAAAAUCCGUACGUGUUAGCCUUCGGUAUUAUUGAAAAUGGUCAUUCAUGGCUAUUUUCGGCAAAAAUGGGGGUUGUGUGGCCAUUGAUCAUCGACCAGAGGCUCAUACACCUCACCCCACAUAUGUUUCCUUGCCAUAGAUCACAUUCUUGGAUUUCUGGUGGAGACCAUUUCUUGGUCAAAAAUCCGUAGUGUUAGCCUUCGGUAUUAUUGAAAAUGGUCGUUCAUGGCUAUUUUCGACAAAAAUGGGGGUUGUGUGGCCAUUGAUCAUCGACCAGAGGCUCAUACACCUCACCCCACAUAUGUUUCCUUGCCAUAGAUCACAUUCUUGGAUUUCUGGUGGAGACCAUUUCUUGGUCAAAAAUCCGUAGGUGUUAGCCUUCGUAUUAUUGAAAAUGGUCGUCAUGGCUAUUUUCGACAAAAAUGGGGGUUGUGUGGCCAUUGAUCAUCGACCAGAGGCUCAUACACCUCACCCACAUAUGUUUCCUUGCCAUAGAUCACAUUCUUGGAUUUCUGGUGGAGACCAUUUCUUGGUCAAAAAUCGUAGGUGUUAGCCUUCGGUAUUAUUGAAAAUGGUCGAUUCAUGGCUAUUUUCAAAAAAUGGGGGUUGUGUGGCCAUUUAUCAUCGACUAGAGGCUCAUAAACCUCACCCCACAUAUGUUUCCUUGCCAUAGAUCACAUUCUUGGAUUUCUGGUGGAAACCAUUUCUUGGUUAAAAACUCGUACGUGUUAGCCUUCGGUAUUAUUGAAAAUGGUCAUUCAUGGCUAUUUUCGGCAAAA